This 492-nucleotide ribosomal RNA is filed under the name uncultured bacterium. RNAcentral describes it as "partial 16S ribosomal RNA". It matches the Rfam family "Bacterial small subunit ribosomal RNA", at positions 29 to 507 of the family's 1533-position model. The record is from RNAcentral.
AGUGAACGCUGGCGGUAGGCCUAACACAUGCAAGUCGAACGGCAGCACAGUAAGAGCUUGCUCUUACGGGUGGCGAGUGGCGGACGGGUGAGGAAUACAUCGGAAUCUACUUUUUCGUGGGGGAUAACGUAGGGAAACUUACGCUAAUACCGCAUACGACCUACGGGUGAAAGCAGGGGAUCUUCGGACCUUGCGCGAUUGAAUGAGCCGAUGUCGGAUUAGCUAGUUGGCGGGGUAAAGGCCCACCAAGGCGACGAUCCGUAGCUGGUCUGAGAGGAUGAUCAGACACACUGUAACUGAGACACGGGCCAGACUCCUAUGGGAGGCAGCAGUGGGGAAUAUUCGGCAAUGGGCGCAAGCCUGAGGGAGCAACACCGCGUGAGUGAAGAAGGGCUUCGGGUUGUAAAACGCUCUUUUGUGGGAAGAAAAAAUGUGCAGGUAAAUACCCCGGUGUUGACGGUACCCAAAAAGAAAGCACCGGCUAACUCCGUG